RNAcentral lists this ribosomal RNA (467 nucleotides) under uncultured bacterium. RNAcentral's name for it is "partial 16S ribosomal RNA". It matches the Rfam family "Bacterial small subunit ribosomal RNA", at positions 28 to 506 of the family's 1533-position model. The record is from RNAcentral.
GACGAACGCUGGCGGCGUGCUUAACACAUGCAAGUCGAACGGAAAGGCCCUGCUUUUGUGGGGUGCUCGAGUGGCGAACGGGUGAGUAACACGUGAGUAACCUGCCCUUGACUUUGGGAUAACUUCAGGAAACUGGGGCUAAUACCGGAUAGGAGCUCCUGCUGCAUGGGGGGGGUUGGAAAGUUGCGGCGUUUGUGCAUGGACUCGCGGCUUAUGAGCUUGUUGGUGAGGUAGUGGCUGACCAAGGCUUUGACGGGUAGCCGGCCUGAGAGGGUGACCGGCCACAUUGGGCUAGGGGUACGGCCCAGAGUGCUACGGGCGGCAGGAGUGGAGGACAGUGCACGCUGGGCGGAAGGAGGAUGGAGGAACGCCGGGUGGGGGAUGACGGCCUUCGGGUAGUAACACGCUUUCGCCUGUGACGACGCGUCAGUGCGGGAAAUGAGUAAAGAAGCACGGGCAACCUACGU